AAGUCGUAACAAGGUUUCCGUAGGUGAACCUGCGGAAGGAUCAUUAACGAGUUUUGAAACGGGUUGUUGCUGGCCUUCCGAGGCAUGUGCACGCCCUGCUCAUCCACUCUACACCUGUGCACUUACUGUAGGUUGGCGUGGGUUUCUAGCCUCCGGGCUGGGAGCAUUCUGCCGGCCUAUGUACACUACAAACUCUAAAGUAUCAGAAUGUAAACGCGUCUAACGCAUCUUAAUACAACUUUCAGCAACGGAUCUCUUGGCUCUC
RNAcentral lists this unclassified non-coding RNA (265 nucleotides) under air metagenome. RNAcentral's name for it is "partial contains small subunit ribosomal RNA, internal transcribed spacer 1, and 5.8S ribosomal RNA". The stretch from base 1 to 46 matches the Rfam family "Eukaryotic small subunit ribosomal RNA", at positions 1786 to 1831 of the family's 1831-position model. The record is from RNAcentral.